Molecule: ribosomal RNA, 290 nt
Filed under: uncultured bacterium
Lineage: Bacteria
Description: partial 16S ribosomal RNA
Rfam family: Bacterial small subunit ribosomal RNA
Source: RNAcentral
GUGGAUUAGAUACCCUGGUAGUCCAUGCCGUAAACGUUGGGCACUAGGUGUGGGGGACAUUCCACGUUUUCCGCGCCGUAGCUAACGCAUUAAGUGCCCCGCCUGGGGAGUACGGCCGCAAGGCUAAAACUCAAAGGAAUUGACGGGGGCCCGCACAAGCGGCGGAGCAUGCGGAUUAAUUCGAUGCAACGCGAAGAACCUUACCAAGGCUUGACAUGAACCGGACCGCUGCAGAAAUGUGGUUUCCCCUUUGGGGCUGGUUUACAGGUGGUGCACGGUCGUCGCCAGCU